Non-coding RNA from Mucidula mucida, 98 nucleotides. Lineage: Eukaryota; Fungi; Basidiomycota; Agaricomycetes; Agaricales; Physalacriaceae. The record is from the annotation of a GenBank genome assembly.
UGCCCCAUGGCUGAGUUGGUUACAGCGUCCGACUGUUAUUCAACUGGUCUUCUAGCUGUAAAAUCGGAAGGUCGUGAGUUCGAGCCUCACUGGGGCAG